UACGAAGGGUGCAAGCGUUAAUCGGAAUUACUGGGCGUAAAGCGCGCGUAGGUGGUUCGUUAAGUUGAAUGUGAAAGCCCCGGGCUCAACCUGGGAACUGCAUCCAAAACUGGCGAGCUAGAGUAUGGCAGAGGGUGGUGGAAUUUCCUGUGUAGCGGUGAAAGGCGUAGAUAUAGGAAGGAACACCAGUGGCGAAGGCGACCACCUGGGCUAAUACUGACACGGAGGUGAGAAAGCGGGGGGAGCACACAGGAGGAGAUACCAGCGUAGUCC
This 273-nucleotide ribosomal RNA is filed under the name uncultured bacterium. Its description in RNAcentral is "partial 16S ribosomal RNA". It matches the Rfam family "Bacterial small subunit ribosomal RNA", at positions 524 to 796 of the family's 1533-position model. The record is from RNAcentral.